UACGGAGGGUGCAAGCAUUAAUCGGAUUUACUGUGCGUAAAGGGCGCGUAGGCGGGUUUAUAAGUCAAAUGUGAAAUUCCGGAGCUCAACUUCGGAGCGGCAUUUGAAACUGUAAAUCUAUAGAGGGAUGGCGGAGAAAACGGAAUUCCACGUGUAGCGGUGAAAUGCGUAGAUAUGUGGAAGAACACCGGUGGCGAAAGCGGUUUUCUAGCUAUUACCUGACGC
Molecule: ribosomal RNA, 225 nt
Filed under: uncultured prokaryote
Description: partial 16S ribosomal RNA
Rfam family: Bacterial small subunit ribosomal RNA
Source: RNAcentral